UAAAUAUAAAUAAUUUAACAAUUUAAAUUAUAAAAAUAAUAAAAAUCCCGGGCGUAGCCCGGGUUAAUCCCUAGUCUUAUAUAAUAAAGUUGGCUUGAGUCCCUCUUUAUGCUGCCACAUCAUCAGUAUGCAUAGGGCAUUUUUCGCCACGUGUCACUUCAUUAAAUUUUAAAUGAAAUCGAUUUUUUCGUUCUGAAUACCGAAACCCAUUAUGGGCUCUACGACAGCAAGACUUCUGUUUGGGCUUAUAUCAUGUUGUUUUCUCAGGCCCAAUGGUUUUGUGUGUGAGCUUACGAUCCCUCUUCUGCUUCCUGUAAUCCAAGAUUAGGGUUUCUGUAAUCGAAGAGCUUACCAUCUCUCUUCCACUUCCUCGGCCAAGUAACUCUCGGGAGUUAUGUCAUUCAAUGAGAAAACCCAAAAAUCCCAUGAACUCUUCUUUAUUGCUGCCUUUAUUUGUUGUUCAGUAGCUAUCUUCAGCAUCUAUAUAUAUUUUCGAUAUGGCUUCCCCGUUUCCCAUAGUCUCCGCCUAUUACUUCUGGACUGAAACUCUCAAACAAGAUCUUCAAAAAUGGCAACUUCCAGCUACACUUUUUCGAGUUGAAGACAGGCCGGUGAAAUGAUAUUGUUCAGACGAGACUUCUCCGUUUUUGGGCGUCUCAGAAUGUGAAGAAAGGAGGUCAAUUGAUGAGCAUGGAUAUGCUACUGCUUGAUGCCAAGGUGACGAUGGUUCAGGGCUUCAGGCAUCAAGAAAUGUACACCGGCUGAACAUCUUCUAACAGUUAUUGAGUGACAAGAAGCAACCGAAACGUCUUUAUGGAGAUAUCCGAAACGGUUCAAACCAAUCCCAGUGGAGCACUUCAGAUUUCUGAAUUAUGACCAACUAAUGGUACGAGCCAACACCAAUUCUGAUUUACCAGAUAUUGUUGGCCAAGUAAAGAGGACUAGAACUACAUACAGGGAAGGAGACUCAGAGUACAACACAUGAUGAUUACCAUAAGCAUCAAAAGGAACUCAAAUGUAUGCCUAAGUGUGUUUGAAGGAUUGGCGAAAGCUCUUGAUGAAAUGAGAAUUUCUAUUGAACCGAAGGUGGUGGUUGCCACAAACUUCAACCCUAAAUUGAGAGUCGGCUCUUCCUGAAUGCAACCUCUCCAAUCCAUUUCUAUUUUAAUAAUGACAGUGGUGCAGGUAAAAGUUAUCUUGAGAGGUAAUGACUUUCACCACUAUUUUCUACAUAAGGAGAAAACCUUAAUAGUCCAAACCCACUGACUGAAAGCGGUUCUUAUUUAGGACAUGCGGCAUUGGAAAAGGCUCGACCUCCAGCCCUAUAAAAUAUGGGGGUGUUGAGAAGAUUGAGAAACUAAAAAAAUAAGCAAAUCAAUAUAUAAACAUAUUUAGGAACUAGAUGUAACCAAAGAUAUAAAACUCCGCGCAAAAUAAAACAUCAUUUGUUGUUACAUAAUAUAUACUAUAUAUUAUUAUUUAAGGCAUUAUUGAAACUAUUUAUAUAUUGCUUUAAGAUAUAACUUUUAAUAAUUUUAUCACAUUACAUUUGAUUUGCAAUUGAUUUAGUUUGGAGAUGGGUGUAUUAAUUUAUUCUCGUGAAAAUUAGUUAUUGUAAUAAUAUUAAAAUCUGAUAAUCUUAGAAAUAAAAUAUUAGUUAUUUUUACCUUAGAUUUUCUUCAACUAUAUAAAACUGAAAUAUAAAUCAAAUAGAAAAAUAUAAAUAUUUACUUUUUUCUUAAUUUCUAAAUUUAAUAAUUUUGUGUUCUCUAACAAAAAAAUGUUAGUGGUCUUUUCAACUCAAACCAACAAAAUUUAAUAAAAUUUACAGUAUACUUUUAGAAUAAAAAUAGAUUACAUUUAUAGUUUAGUAACAAAGUAAAUUUAAAUUAAAAUAUUUUAAUAUAAAAUCAUUUUAGUUUAAAAUCACCCGCCCGUAGGACGGGACAACCCCUAGUAUAAAAUAAUUUUAAAUGAUUCAUUGUUUUUGUCUUAUGCAAUUCAAAAAUUUAAGUAUUCAAUUUUUUUUGUUAUUGGAAAUUAUAUAUAAGGUGAAUAGCUGAAUAAGAAAAAAUUAAUUAAAUUUCAAUUAUGGUAUUUAACUGGUUGAAUUGUAAACAUGUCUCAUUAUCUAAAUAUUAUUUAUCUUACUUUUAUAAGUGUUUGAAAUUUUUUUUGCCUUUUCAAUUUUUUGUUCCACGUCGUCCAAAGUAUGUUUUAAAAAUUCAUCAACUCCAUAUUUAUUUUUCUCGUUUUUAUAGACUUUAAAAUUUUGAAAGUGUGAGAGUUGAUAAAAUAUAAUGCAUGUAUGAAUUAUAAAGUUCAUGGCAUACAUGAGUACAUUUGUUAGUGCUUCUUCUGGAUAGCGAAAUAAAUAUAUAUAUAACAUAAAAUAACAUGUUCAAGUAUUAGAAUUUAUACGAAGCUUUUCCAUUGUCAUUUAUUCUAUAAUUUUAGCAAACCAAGCUUUGGGAUUUGAUAUUGAAGUAGUGUCAUUGAUAUAUUUGACAGACCAAUUACUCGUAUGAACCACUAAAUUGCCUUUAAUUGAUUUAUAUAUUGUAUGAAACUUGCAAAAAAUCUUCAAAACGCAAAAAUUGUAUUCCAACACUAACUACUUCCCCUCACGUCUCAUGUGGCUUGACUCUUGCUACUUAGUUCACUACUUUCCUUACCCAUGGCCAUCUAACAAUCUCAAUCUCUGAUUCGUUGAUAAUCUUCAUCAAGUUUUCUACUACAACCUACAUCUUGGGCCGUAGGUAUCGUAAAGAGAUCAGCAAGCUAUCCAAACUAAUGCUCAUGCAGCUGCAUGCGGAGUUAUUGUGGAGCCAUUAAUCCUUAGGUUUGUUUCUCUCAUUGGUUUGGGCGUCGGGUUAUAAUCUGGUUGAGCACAACACUGAAGCCGUAGGGAUCCCUCUUUAACAAAAGAUGGCCUGUCUGCACGUAUGUAAGAGCUGCAGAGCCACAUGUUUCAAAUUUGUAUAAAGUGAAUGUGGAUAAAUAUGAAAAAGUAGAUAUAUUAAACGAUUCAUUUUUUUUUCAUCAUCUAAAACUAUGUACACUAUAUCAAACCUACCUGAAUACAUCUUAUUCUAUAAAGAAAGGUUUGCUUCAAUACAAUUAAGGAUAAAAUUCUCACAUACAAAACAAUUUUUUUUAACGCGAACCAAAUCAAACAAUAUGAAAGGUAAAAUCGUGUGUGUGUAAAAAAUUAAUAGUUUAAUAUUCACUGAAGAACAUUUGGGUUGAGAUGAAGUAACAAAUAUAACAAUGAAACUGAUUUGUUACACUGAAACAAUGACCAAAGAAAAAUCAUUUUGAUCAAUUUCAUGACUUAUAACUUUUUAAUCAAAGAAAUAUUGAUGUAGAUAAGAAGAGACCACAUAUGGGUCAUAAGUUUAAUUUCAAUUAAACUUAAUUUAGUUAAAAGCCUAUAUAUAUAAAAUUAGCUUUUUCUCUUCUUAUGACAAGUAGAAACGAUAUUUGAUGACAUGUGUUCCCAUGUAUUUUUGUUUUAACAUUUUAGGUCUUUUUUCUUUUACACUAUUGCAAUUUGGUUAGUAUUUUCUAAUUGUGCACUAUUAUUUUUCUCUCACUAACCAUUAUUAUAUGAAGUUUUAUAAUAUAUUUUAUUAGUCAAUAACAUUGGAGAUGAAUAAA
This is a long non-coding RNA of Brassica rapa (field mustard), 3660 nucleotides long. RefSeq lists it as uncharacterized. The record is from RefSeq and is a predicted model, not a curated record. NCBI's taxonomy places the organism in Eukaryota, Viridiplantae, Streptophyta, Magnoliopsida, Brassicales, Brassicaceae.